Molecule: ribosomal RNA, 435 nt
Filed under: uncultured Chloroflexota bacterium
Lineage: Bacteria; Bacillati; Chloroflexota
Description: bacterial SSU rRNA
Rfam family: Bacterial small subunit ribosomal RNA
Source: RNAcentral
CGUGUGGUUUAAUUCGAUGCAACGUCGAAGAACCUUACUAAGGCUUGACAUGCCAGAAGUAGGAACUCGAAAGAGAGACCACCUGUAUCCAGUCAGGAACUGGCACAGGUGCUGCAUGGCUGUCGUCAGCUCGUGCCGUGAGGUGUUAGGUUAAGUCCUGCAACGAGCGUCAACCCUCGUCGCUAGUUAAAUUUUCUAGCGAUACUGCCCGUAAAACGAGGAGGAAGGUGGGGAUGACGUCAAGUCAGCAUGGCCCUUACGCCUUGGGCUACACACACGCUACAAUGGGUGAUACAACGGGUUGCGAGAGAGCGAUCUGGAGCUAAUCCCUAAAAUCAUCCUCAGUUCGGAUUGCAGGCUGAAACUGCCUGCAUGGAGUUGGAGUUGCUAGUAACCGCAGGUCAGCACACUGCGGUGAAUACGUUCUCGGGCCUU